This 148-nucleotide small RNA is filed under the name Pongo abelii (Sumatran orangutan). RNAcentral describes it as "Metazoan signal recognition particle RNA (ENSPPYG00000037326.1)". The record is from Rfam by way of RNAcentral. Lineage: Eukaryota; Metazoa; Chordata; Mammalia; Primates; Hominidae.
GCUGAGUGUGGUGGUGCACACCUGCAACUCCAGCUACUCAGGGGGCUGAGGCAGGAGGAUCAUUUGAGCCCAGGAGGUUGAGGCUGCAGUGAGCCAUGAUCACACCACUGCACUCCAGCCUGGGCAACAGAGUGAGAUCCUGUUUCAA